UACAGAGGUCUCAAGCGUUGUUCGGAAUUACUGGGCGUAAAGCGCACGUAGGCGGUCUUUUAAGUCGGGGGUGAAAUCCUGGAGCUCAACUCCAGAACUGCCUUCGAUACUGGAAGACUUGAGUCCGGGAGAGGUGAGUGGAACUGCGAGUGUAGAGGUGAAAUUCGUAGAUAUUCGCAAGAACACCAGUGGCGAAGGCGGCUCACUGGCCCGGUACUGACGCUGAGGUGCGAAAGCGUGGGGAGCAAACAGG
This 253-nucleotide ribosomal RNA is filed under the name uncultured bacterium. RNAcentral's name for it is "partial 16S ribosomal RNA". It matches the Rfam family "Bacterial small subunit ribosomal RNA", at positions 524 to 776 of the family's 1533-position model. The record is from RNAcentral.